CUCCGGGUUUUUCUCUCUCUCUCUGCCGGAUCGUCUCUGAUGCAGCUGUGUGCUAGCCUCCUGCUAUGGGCUAUGCUGUUUUUUAGUCUGAGAGAGCCAGAUAUUCAAAGUCUAGUCACUUUUAUCGUCAGAGCAGAGAGCGAGCCUUUCCUUUUUUUGCCGUGGGUAGAUGAGUGGACCGUGUGUUUUGCAACAGAAGCGGAGGAGAACUGGAACCCUGAACUGAUGAGAGCCGUGUAUUGUGCCCUGUGCCCGGAGUGAGUGUGUGUAUAUGAACCGUGAGCCUCUGGUGAGUAACUUUUACUGAAGUUAGUCUGAUAAAUGGAGUGAAAUGUGUUGUUUCUGCUAAUGUUAAUAUGGAUCAAUGAGGCAUUAUUUUUAUGAAUGUGGUGGUUAAGAAAAAAAA
Molecule: long non-coding RNA, 406 nt
Organism: Myripristis murdjan (pinecone soldierfish)
Lineage: Eukaryota; Metazoa; Chordata; Actinopteri; Holocentriformes; Holocentridae
Exons: 2
Source: RefSeq, a predicted model, not a curated record